RNAcentral lists this ribosomal RNA (467 nucleotides) under uncultured bacterium. RNAcentral describes it as "partial 16S ribosomal RNA". It matches the Rfam family "Bacterial small subunit ribosomal RNA", at positions 28 to 506 of the family's 1533-position model. The record is from RNAcentral.
GACGAACGCUGGCGGCGUGCUUAACACAUGCAAGUCGAACGGAAAGGCCCUGCUUUUGUGGGGUGCUCGAGUGGCGAACGGGUGAGUAACACGUGAGUAACCUGCCCUUGACUUUGGGAUAACUUCAGGAAACUGGGGCUAAUACCGGAUAGGAGCUCCUGCUGCAUGGUGGGGGUUGGAAAGUUUCGGCGGUUGGGGAUGGACUCGCGGCUUAUCAGCUUGUUGGUGGGGUAGUGGCUUACCAAGGCUUUGACGGGUAGCCGGCCUGAGAGGGUGACCGGCCACAUGGGGACUGGGAUACGGCCCAGACUCCAACGGGAGGCAGCAGUGGGGAAUAUUGCACAAUGGGCGGAAGCCGGAUGCAGCAACGCCGGGUGGGGGAGGACGGCCUUCGGGUGGUAAACCGCUUUCGCCUGUGACGAAGCGUGAGUGACGGUAAUGGGUAAAGAAGCACCGGCUAACUACGU